This is a long non-coding RNA of Salvia splendens (bonfire salvia), 580 nucleotides long. RefSeq lists it as uncharacterized. NCBI's taxonomy places the organism in Eukaryota, Viridiplantae, Streptophyta, Magnoliopsida, Lamiales, Lamiaceae. The record is from RefSeq and is a predicted model, not a curated record. The transcript has 2 exons.
CAGAACUCGUCGUUCUCUUCUUUCUCCCUCAACUCUCUUUCUUCCCAAAACAGAACUCACCCGAAAAAAAUUCACCAAGUUGGAUACACCGUUUUCUCCAAUUCGCAGUGUUAAAAGAAUCGGUGACGCCGCAGACCCAACACCGCGACAUCGUCGUCGCGGUGCUCAGCUGGACGACACCCGAUUCGCGAUGGUUGUCGUCAGCUCUCCGUGGUGCCGCCGCUGAAUUUGGUCGCACCGUCCAGAUUGGCAGAUCCGUUUUCAUACCCCGAUGAAUCCCGAUUUACCCCGCAGAUAAGUCGUAAGUUCAUGGGUUGAUGAAUUGAAUUGGGGAAGAAGAUUAUACCUUCAAAAGAACAAAUUGGCUUGAAACAAAAGAUUGAAGCUUCUGGCUUCUCCCCCUCCCGAAUCGAUCCAUGAUGGAAUUUGGAUUUGGUGAGGAAAAAUGAAGUUCCUUUCUACUGUUCCCUCCGCCGCUUUGCGAUUCAACAGCGAGAAGUGAGUGGCUGCGAAUUUGUGUGAGGGAAGGAGAUUAGAGUAUGAGGAUUUAUAUAGCCGGGUUUUUUUUUCUUUUGUACUA